This is a long non-coding RNA of Homo sapiens (human), 1323 nucleotides long. The record is from Ensembl. NCBI's taxonomy places the organism in Eukaryota, Metazoa, Chordata, Mammalia, Primates, Hominidae.
AGACGGGGUUUCACCAUGUUGGCCAGGUUGGUCUCGAACUCCUGACGUCAGGUUAUCCGCCUGCCCCGGCUUCCCAAAGUGCUGGGAUUGCAGGCGUGAGCCACUGCGCCCGGCAUUGGAUUUACAUUUGUUCAACAAUGAAGAAUAGAAAAGACAUCUUAUGGAUACUAUUCCUAAUGAGGGAGAAAUUAAGUGAGCAGAAAUUUUUUGAGAACAUAAUUUUUUUUUAAAAUAAACAAUACAUUCAAUGAGUUCAUGGCUUUCACUUUGCAUAAGGCCACAAAGUGAAAAGACAACAAGAAAAGCACAAUAGAAAGACCUGCUUUGAGGCUAAGAGAAAAAAAGCAAAAAGAAAAUUCUUAUAAUCUGGGAACAGUGAUAGCAUUAUAUGUGGUUAAGGAGAAGAGCAGUGAAGCUAAGAAGGUUAAACAUUUCCAACUGUUUUCAAGUAGUGGGAAAAAACAGAGAAUCAAAAAUCUAGAGGUAUAAGAUCAUGUGAAAGAUGAAAAGAAAAAUUAAAUGAGGAAUGGUGAGGCUUCAGAAAAAAAAUAGGAAACUACUUAUUGGCCUCCAUGAGAAAUAUGAGGAUUCAGGGUUAUAGAAACACUAAAGACUAAAGUUUUUCUAAGAGCUAUUGUUAGUUCGUUUGCUUGUUCUUUUGUAUUUUUGUGACCUUCAUGCCUGUUUUUAUACAGAAAUGCUUUUAAUCUUUUAUUUUGUUUUCACAAUUGUUAUUUAACAUAUAAAGUUAUAAGUUCAAAAUUGUUAUUUGGAACCCUUGAUGUUUAUUAAAUUUUAAGUUGAUCUUGCAAAAUAAUCUCAUUGUUUGCCCUAAAAUAAUCUUGCCAAUCAUUUCUAGGAUUAUCAGAAUAAUUUUUUGUCUCACAGACUAAAAUAUCGUUAAGCCAUUUUAAAUGUUUUAAAUACAUUGAAUAGAUAAGUACUCUGUUUUAUAAAAUAGUUCAAUAAUCUGAUUUAAUAGACAAAAUAAUUCUAAGUACCAAAUAACUGUUAAAUUCAACAGAUUAAAAUGGCCAUUCAUAGAAAUUUAUGACUUAGUCUAAAAAAUUCACAAGUUUAAAUGAAUUAUUCAAUGCAUUUUACACUGGAGUUGUAAGGCUGUUAUUGUAAUAGCCCGUGUUCUUAUAUAUCUUAAUACAUAAACCACCUAAUAGUCACAGAGUCUUUGUUAAUAUGAUGAAUUAAAACCAUGCUUCUUAUUUUCUUAAGCUUUCCCUUGGAUUAUAGAGUAGAGGAAAGCCACCAUUGAAAGGACACACACUCUUGGAACCCAACAACUAUGCUAUAAGAAAGCCCAAAUUA